This 73-nucleotide transfer RNA is filed under the name Guinardia delicatula. Its description in RNAcentral is "tRNA-Trp". It matches the Rfam family "tRNA". Rfam says of the family: Transfer RNA (tRNA) molecules are approximately 80 nucleotides in length. Lineage: Eukaryota; Bacillariophyta; Coscinodiscophyceae; Rhizosoleniales; Rhizosoleniaceae. The record is from RNAcentral.
AGGAGGAUAGCUCAAUUGGUAGAGCGUUAGUUUCCAAAACUAAAGGUUAAGGGUUCAAGUCCCUUUUUUCCUG